CCUACGGGAGGCAGCAGUGGGGAAUAUUGGGCAAUGGAGGAAACUCUGACCCAGCGACGCCGCGUGCGGGAUGAAGGCCUUCGGGUUGUAAACCGCUUUCAGCAGGGAAGAAGCGAAAGUGACGGUACCUGCAGAAGAAGCACCGGCUAACUAUGUGCCAGCAGCCGCGGUAAUACAUAGGGUGCAAGCGUUGUCCGGAAUUAUUGGGCGUAAAGAGCUCGUAGGUGGUUCGUCACGUCGGAUGUGAAAAUCUGGGGCUUAACCCCAGACCUGCAUUCGAUACGGGCGAGCUAGAGUGUGGUAGGGGAGACUGGAAUUCCUGGUGUAGCGGUGGAAUGCGCAGAUAUCAGGAGGAACACCAAUGGCGAAGGCAGGUCUCUGGGCCAUUACUGACACUGAGGAGCGAAAGCGUGGGGAGCGAACAGGGAUUAGGAUACCCUGGUAGUCCACGCCGUAAACGGUGGGCACUAGUUGUGGGAACCUUCCACGGUUUCUGCGACGCNGCUACGACAUAGUGCCCGCCGUGGGAGGACGAUCGCAGAUAAACUACAANAGAAGUAGACGCGNGAGACGUGCGACGGACGACGACGAGGGAGGAGG
RNAcentral lists this ribosomal RNA (600 nucleotides) under uncultured bacterium. RNAcentral's name for it is "bacterial SSU rRNA". The stretch from base 1 to 523 matches the Rfam family "Bacterial small subunit ribosomal RNA", at positions 338 to 873 of the family's 1533-position model. The record is from RNAcentral.